UACGUAGGGUGCAAGCGUUAAUCGGAAUUACUGGGCGUAAAGCGUGCGCAGGCGGUUAUGCAAGACAGAUGUGAAAUCCCCGGGCUCAACCUGGGAACUGCAUUUGUGACUGCAUAGCUGGAGUGCGGCAGAGGGGGAUGGAAUUCCGCGUGUAGCAGUGAAAUGCGUAGAUAUGCGGAGGAACACCGAUGGCGAAGGCAAUCCCCUGGGCCUGCACUGACGCUCAUGCACGAAAGCGUGGGGAGCAAACAGG
This 253-nucleotide ribosomal RNA is filed under the name uncultured bacterium. RNAcentral describes it as "partial 16S ribosomal RNA". It matches the Rfam family "Bacterial small subunit ribosomal RNA", at positions 524 to 776 of the family's 1533-position model. The record is from RNAcentral.